UUCUGCAGAGGCAGGUGGAAAAGGAUCCACUAAGAAAGAUCUUAAUAGCCAGCGGAACUUAUUUAAGGAUGUCUUGGAGUUUCUCGAGUAUGGUUAUUGCCCUGAAAACUCAAUGAAGAUUGGAGGAGAUUCACUACAGACAUCUACAUGGUCUCAACUGAUACAGCUGAACUUUUUAAAGCACUUUCUUGGCGGUGGGUUCGUUAAGCACAUGCAGGAUAAUGACCUCCUUCAUGAUGUCUUUGGGUUCAUGCCAAAGAAGAAAUAUCUUCAAGGCGUCGAACAUCAAAUGUCUAGUAGUGAAAAGAGGUUGUACAAGUCUCCAAAUUCAGUCCUCAACAAAGCCAGGAC
RNAcentral lists this unclassified non-coding RNA (351 nucleotides) under Hevea brasiliensis (rubber tree). Lineage: Eukaryota; Viridiplantae; Streptophyta; Magnoliopsida; Malpighiales; Euphorbiaceae. The record is from RNAcentral.